This 1478-nucleotide long non-coding RNA is filed under the name Anas platyrhynchos platyrhynchos (common mallard). RNAcentral describes it as "lncRNA (ENSAPLG00000029643.1)". Lineage: Eukaryota; Metazoa; Chordata; Aves; Anseriformes; Anatidae. The record is from RNAcentral.
AUGGCAAAUACCUUAGGCCACAGCUCAUUCUUUAGUGGAUUGUUUUCAAUGGGCAGCAUGAGAACAAAAAACAGCCACAUGGAAACAGUCACAUGUAGUGGGCAUCGGAAGGUUCCUUACACUUUUUUUCAUUCAGAAAGACUCAAGAGACCUACAGCUGCACGAGAACAUUUGGCAACACUUAUUACUACACCCAGGCUCUCGGAUUUUGCCUACCACUGGUUAAUUCAGAUUACAUACCAGUUAAAAUAUGUACCGUAUUUUUAUAAUUCAGAAUGAUUAAACAAAAUAUUAGGACCAGCAAGGAAGAUGUGGCCUGAUAAAUUGCAGUGUACUUUUAUUAAAUUAACAAUGUGUUAGCUUUGACAUCAGCUGCAAUAUGAUCCAGUAUUGUGAAAUGCACUUUUGGAUCCUGACAUGUUUAUUGUUAUGUCUGGCAUUCUUGCUGGAUUUUUUCUUCAUUAUUAUUAUUAUUAUUGUUGUUGUUGUUAUUAUUAUUAUUAUUAUUAUUAUUAGUGCCAUUGUUAUUAUCAAAAUAUGAAUGCAUGUAGGUUAUGGGAUAAGAUUUUUUUUUUUUUUUUAAGUGACAGUAUGCAAGUUUGUACUUGAAACUGUUAUACAUGCCAAAUGAGGUUAUGGAGAGCCUAGAAGUGAGAGCAGAAGUCAGUACACAAAAGGGCUUGUGUCUUAAGAUGUUAGCCUGGAAUUUACCUUUACGUCAACCUCCUGGUCUACUCAGACAAAAAUGUACUGAAUGUCAGUCAUGGAUGGGCAAACUAAGGGUAUUGCCGGUCUCUUGACACUGCACUAUUUGGAUAUGAUGGAUGUGGAGAAAUCUAAUCCUUCCAGAGGGAAUCAGGUGGCACUGUUAGGACAAAGAGUGCAAACAAUUUUGUACUGGAAAAAACUUUCCAUUUUUGUCUUUUUGUGCCAAAAAUGUUACAGUCUCCAGCUGUUCUGUGUUAAACACUAAAUCUAGUAGAGAAAAGAAUCUCAUAGAAAAGGUUAAACAUCGAAUAGCUGUUUCUAUUGGUUGGAUUAUGUUUAGAUCAUAUAAAACAUGUUAAAAAAUCAUUUCCCAGGCACUGCUAAAACAUCUGCUUUCUGAAUUAGAAAGCUAGACAUUCAAAUCUAAGUUGGGAAAGAAAGAAAAAAAAAGAAAGAAAGAAAGAAAGAAAGAAAGAAAGAAAGAAAGAAAGAAAGCCAAGAGCUGUUUUCUUUAAAGGCCUUUUGCUACAAACAAGUGAAUUGAGUGUUUGUGAUAUCUUAUUAUCCCAGAAGUCAGUCUGAACAGACUGAGAAAGAAAGCAGAUGUCCUACAGACUGAGACACAGUUAUUUGAAGAACAAUAUAAGUAAUCUUCCAAAAAAACAAUGAUUUAAUUUGGGCUUUCCCUUUUGUCAUCCCUGCACUAGAGCUGCAUAUUUUAUUUUCUCCUCUUAAAUCAAUAAAGAAUGGAAUUGUCUGGUUCUUUGACA